RNAcentral lists this ribosomal RNA (460 nucleotides) under uncultured bacterium. Its description in RNAcentral is "partial 16S ribosomal RNA". It matches the Rfam family "Bacterial small subunit ribosomal RNA", at positions 338 to 795 of the family's 1533-position model. The record is from RNAcentral.
CCUACGGGGGGCAGCAGUGAGGAAUAUUGGUCAAUGGACGAGAGUCUGAACCAGCCAAGUAGCGUGAAGGAUGACUGCCCUAUGGGUUGUAAACUUCUUUUAUAUGGGAAUAAAAUGUUCCACGUGUGGGAUUUUGUAUGUACCAUAUGAAUAAGGAUCGGCUAACUCCGUGCCAGCAGCCGCGGUAAUACGGAGGAUCCGAGCGUUAUCCGGAUUUAUUGGGUUUAAAGGGAGCGUAGGUGGAUUGUUAAGUCAGUUGUGAAAGUUUGCGGCUCAACCGUAAAAUUGCAGUUGAAACUGGCAGUCGUGAGUACAGUAGAGGUAGGCGGAAUUCGUGGUGUAGCGGUGAAAUGCUUAGAUAUCACGAAGAACUCCGAUUGCGAAGGCAGCUCACUGGACUGCAACUGACACUGAGGCUCGAAAGUGUGGGUAUCAAACAGGAUUAGAUACCCCUGUAGUC